RNAcentral lists this ribosomal RNA (460 nucleotides) under uncultured bacterium. RNAcentral's name for it is "partial 16S ribosomal RNA". It matches the Rfam family "Bacterial small subunit ribosomal RNA", at positions 338 to 795 of the family's 1533-position model. The record is from RNAcentral.
CCUACGGGAGGCAGCAGUGAGGAAUAUUGGUCAAUGGUCGGGAGACUGAACCAGCCAAGCCGCGUGAGGGAUGAAGGUACAGAGUAUCGUAAACUUCUUUUGUCAGGGAACAAAGGCGGGGACGCGUCCCCGGAUGAGUGUACCUGAAGAAAAAGCAUCGGCUAACUCCGUGCCAGCAGCCGCGGUAAUACGGAGGAUGCGAGCGUUAUCCGGAUUUAUUGGGUUUAAAGGGUGCGCAGGGGGGCUGUUAAGUCAGCGGUGAAAGCCCGGGGCUCAACCCCCGACCUGCAGUUGAAACUGGCAGUCUUGAGUUGGGGAGAGGUAUGCGGAAUGCGCGGUGUAGCGGUGAAAUGCAUAGAUAUCGCGCAGAACUCCGAUUGCGAAGGCAGCAUGCCGGAUCCACACUGACGCUGAGGCACGAAAGCGUGGGUAUCGAACAGGAUUAGAUACCCCUGUAGUC